UGGCAUCUCAUUCAAUCCUCACAACAACCCCAUGAGUGAGAAGAAUAGUUAUUAACAGAAUGUCUUCAGGAGUUUCUGCAAACUACCUUCAGACUCAUCUCCAGGGAGGAUCCAAGGUCCAGAGACAUCCCUUGCAGAAGUGUGGGACCCAAGAUAAAUUGGUGUCUUAUUCACAUACACUUUUCAAAAAUUCAGCUUUUGCAGACAUCAUCAUGGUCUGGAUGAUAUGUUGGAGCUCACAGGGUCAUAAUCACUUUUGUGCCACUCGACUCCUCUCUACAAAGGUGUCCUUUCUUCUUGCCUCUGCCAUUCUCUGCAGGCUAUUCCCCCUCUUGUUAAAUCUCCUGCAUUACAGAAUCUGCUCACCUACUCAGAAGGUAGGUGAAAUCACUGUCCUAUAAGCUCACACAUAGCUUCUUGGGAAAAUGCAAUAUAGAAA
This is a non-coding RNA of Phascolarctos cinereus (koala), 439 nucleotides long. The record is from RefSeq and is a predicted model, not a curated record. Lineage: Eukaryota; Metazoa; Chordata; Mammalia; Diprotodontia; Phascolarctidae.